AGAAUAAAAGCUUUAUAGCAUUUCACUUACACUGAAAAUAACUAAAUAUAAUAAUUAUA
Molecule: transfer RNA, 59 nt
Filed under: Cheiracanthium insigne
Lineage: Eukaryota; Metazoa; Arthropoda; Arachnida; Araneae; Cheiracanthiidae
Description: tRNA-Val
Source: RNAcentral